UUUGCCCAAGUCCCUUGCUUGAAGGACUAUCGCACUUUCAGUGGUACUGAGACUGUCCCUACCACUACCCUUUAUCAAGCUGGUUUACAAGAGUUCUGGCUUUCCCAACCGGACAAAACUUCUAGGGAAUCUAAUUUCUUUCGAACCCCCUAUUAUAUUUAUAUGCGGUCCUAACCUUGCUACUCUUACUUCCACUAGCAAGAGAACUUCUGCUCGUAACAUACCCCUAGGGAUAUAAUCUUACUUCUUGAAGCGAGCUACUUUAACUGCCAAAGGAGCGGGGCAACUCGAGUUAGACGAGAGGCAGGGAUGUAAUUUCAAAGAGGCUCGACCGGACCCAAGAACCGGACAGAAGACAGGCCCCACUGUGAUACCUCGUGCAAGUUCUAGUUAAUGACCUGAAAGAAGUCACUAGCUUCUUGCUAUCGAGCGUGCCUUAGCCUUAGUUUACAAGGAAGCUUUGUCGUACUUAGAAAAGGAUGGUUCUAAAGUAGGUGUCAAGCUGAGAAAAGGCGGAGAAUUUUUGAAUUCAAGAAAAGAAAGGCAUUGCCCAAUACAUUUAUUCUAUACAAUAGGAAUUCCAAGCCGUAAAAGGCAA
This 598-nucleotide long non-coding RNA is filed under the name Nicotiana benthamiana. RNAcentral's name for it is "long non-coding RNA (NBEN_LNC011692)". Lineage: Eukaryota; Viridiplantae; Streptophyta; Magnoliopsida; Solanales; Solanaceae. The record is from RNAcentral.